Molecule: long non-coding RNA, 3538 nt
Filed under: Brassica napus (rape)
Lineage: Eukaryota; Viridiplantae; Streptophyta; Magnoliopsida; Brassicales; Brassicaceae
Description: long non-coding RNA (BNAP_LNC000429)
Source: RNAcentral
AAAAAAAUGACGUUUGCUUCAAAGAUCAUCACAUGCCUCCUCGUCCUUACGAUCUACAUUGCAGCUCCAACAGAGUCACACAUAACGUGUGGGACAGUGACAAGCACAAUGACACAAUGCAUCAGCUACUUGACCAACGGUGGUCCAUUGCCGUCAAGCUGCUGUGUGGCAGUCAAAUCAUUGAACCAAAUGGCUCAGACCACACCAGAUCGCCGACAAGUAUGUGAGUGCCUUAAAUCAGCCGGUAAGGAAAUUAAAGGCCUCAAUAUCGACCUUGUGGCCGCACUCCCUACCACUUGUGGUGUUUCACUUUCCUACCCCAUUGGUUUCAACACCAAUUGUGACAGGUACUUGUCCAUAUAUAACUUUGUUUUUGGUUUUAUAUUAGAUCGUUUUGCUUCUUUCUAGAUUAUCGAUAUAAUUUUCACAGCUGUUUCCACAGUAUAUCUUGAAAGCUAGUUCUCGAUCUACUUGACUCCAAAAUAUAUAAAAGAAAAUGGAUUUGGACUAAUUAAACUACCAGAUAAACACAUAGUUCACUAUAGUCGAUAGUAUAUUGUUGUAUGGUUUGUUACCAGUGACAUGAUACAUUAUUGUUUUGUUUUUUGGAAUGUUACAGUAUAUCGAUUGCCGUGUGAAGGAGACUAGAGACGUACGAACGAAUAAGAAGAGUUGGCCCAACUUUAACCUAAACAAUAAUUAUCCCGCUGCUAUUUUCUAUUUUAUGACUUGAGUUUCUUAUUAUGUAAUCAUCCAUUUCAUAUGGUAAUAAGUAAUAACGAUAAAGGAGCUCUCUCUCUCUUUAUCGGCGCUUUGAUGUAUGUACGCCUAACAUACCAUCAGGAAUAACACUUUGUCUUUCUCUUACAUGUAAUAUAUAUGAUCAAGAGGUUGCAUGAACUAAUGAGCUUUUACCUAACCGCAUAUAUAUAAAGUUAUAGCAUCCAUGAAAAAGGUUUGGCAUAUAAACAUGUUUUGCAAGGUCAAUACAAAGGAUAUCGUUUUAGUCUUCUAAGAAUGUAAAUUUCAUUACUAUUGUAUUGUAUGUUUGAUACAAGAGAACCUGAAUCCAAAGGAUAUCAGACAAAAUGGGUAUUCGAUAUCAGACCACCGGUUCUACAUGUAUGUCAAAUAUUUGUUGUGAGUGUACGUUGUUUGGAUUAAUUUAUAUAUAUAUACUAGUGGUAUUCCGGCGCUACGCGCCGGGUUCAUAUUUUUUUAUUCUUUAAUGAAUUCAAUCAUUUGCUUAUAGAAAUAACAGUUUUUGCAUAUCUUCUUGAUGUUUAGUAAUUAAGUUUGGGGGAUCAACUUGGGGUUCCGUUUGCCAAACUAAAUUAUCAAUACGUUUGUGCUGUUUAUUAAUUUAACAAUUUUAUUUGUUUUGUUUGGUUAUUUGUAGGUUUUAUUUAAAAAUUAAGCUACUGUUUUAUGCAUUUGUAUUUAGCUGGAUUUUUCUAUGUUAUGUGCAUGUGAUACUAAGAAUGUUGCACUCAGACAGUUUGUACCGGCUACUUAUGUAUUAUAGCUACUAUAUGUGGCUUCGUAUGUCAUUUGGGGGUCUUAGUUAUGGCUUAGCUUAGGUUGGGUUUUUUUUGACAGACACAAUGAAAAAAGAGUUGUCCAAAAAAAAACACAAUGAAAAAAUUUGCGAUAGUAGUUAAAGUGAAAACAGAAGCAAAAGCUCAAGUAAAAAAAAACAGAAAAAUUUCUAGGGAAAACUGAAACAAUAGCAAUGUACCAACAAUCCCAAAGAAAAGUAAAAAUUUAUAAAUAUUAAUUAGAAUCUAUAUAUUCGAUUUGAAAAUGAGUAAAAUUUAAUUAGACUUGUAAAUAUAUAUAAGAUUUGCAAAUCAAUUAAAUUGCAUAAAUGAUUGACACCCUUAAACUUUUGAUAAAAAUAAAGUAAAAAUCAAAACUGAGCAGCAAACCAACAUAUGCUGAGUCGCUCAAAUAAGAUAAUUCUUAUAUAUAUAUAUAUAUAUAUAUAUAUAUAUACUGUUGUGAUUGAAAUUUUCAUGCGUGAUUUCAUAAAUUUUAAAUAUGUAUAAAUUUAAAAUUUAAAAUAAAAAUAUGUAAAGUAGUAUUGUUACAUAAUAAUGUUUUCAAAAUAAUUGUUUGUACAAAAAUACAAAUUUAUAGUAAUAAUAUAUAAGCCACAUAAACAUAGCUAUUAUAAAAAUACAUAAUAUAAAACACUUAAUUGCAUUAAGUUAUUUGUAAAUUUUGUUAUACUCCCUCUGUAUACAAAUAUAGAUGUUUUAGUUUUUUUUCUUUGUAUACAAAUGUAUGAUGUUUUACUUUUAACUAAUGAAAUUUUCUUUAAAAAUAAAAUAUUAAUCAAAAUGUAAAAAUUUAAGUGGUUGAAUUUUUAUUGGAAAUCAAAUAAAACUUUAAACUAACUAAAAUAAAAACCAAAAAGUAAUAGAUAAAAAUAAAUAUUUAAUUUCUCUUAAUAUGUGUUAACAACCUUACACAUCCUAUAUUUGUAUCAAGAGGGAGUAUAAACUAAAAUAUUUAAGUAUAGAAAUAAAAAACCGCACUAAUUCCGUAGCUUUUAUUUAAGGAAAUAAAAAAAUAUUAUUUUGUAAACUAUUAAUUAAUUUGAUAGUUAUUUUAGUUAAAAACAUAGUAUAUAUUUAUAUGGACCAACUUAUUUUUUUAAGAAUUCUAAGAAUCACGCUCUUGAUGACACGUGGCUACGAAUAUGUUGUAAUGCUCAAUGAUUUAUAUAUAGGGGAUUUUUCCCAUAAGCAAUUUUACUUAGGUUUGACCAUUUUGUCAACAACUUAUUAUAACACAUUAACUUUAGUUUCUGGAAAUAUUUACAUUCUUAGGAAAAAAACUCAAGUAACCGAAGAUCGGGGAAGCAUUGCAUUAACAUGGGAAUAUGUGUAUUUUUGAUGUUUAAUUCAUAGUAAAUCCCGUUAUUCAUCAAAUUUGCAUGCAUGCGAAGCUAAGCAUAAUUUACGGGUACACAUGACAUUGAUGGAGCUUUCCCAAUUAUAAAAACCGCACCGACGACCUCAACAAAGUAAAACAAUCAAUUAAACACAAUUAAAAAAAAAAUGACGUUUGCUUCAAAGAUCAUCACAUGCCUCCUCGUCCUUACGAUCUACAUUGCAGCUCCAACAGAGUCACACAUAACGUGUGGGACAGUGACAAGCACAAUGACACAAUGCAUCAGCUACUUGACCAACGGUGGUCCAUUGCCGUCAAGCUGCUGUGUGGCAGUCAAAUCAUUGAACCAAAUGGCUCAGACCACACCAGAUCGCCGACAAGUAUGUGAGUGCCUUAAAUCAGCCGGUAAGGAAAUUAAAGGCCUCAAUAUCGACCUUGUGGCCGCACUCCCUACCACUUGUGGUGUUUCACUUUCCUACCCCAUUGGUUUCAACACCAAUUGUGACAGGUACUUGUCCAUAUAUAACUUUGUUUUUGGUUUUAUAUUAGAUCGUUUUGCUUCUUUCUAGAUUAUCGAUAUAAUUUUCACAGCUGUUUCCACAGUAUAUCUUGAAAGCUAGUUCUCGAUCUACUUGACUCC